Molecule: long non-coding RNA, 1016 nt
Filed under: Daucus carota (carrot)
Lineage: Eukaryota; Viridiplantae; Streptophyta; Magnoliopsida; Apiales; Apiaceae
Description: long non-coding RNA (DCAR_LNC007462)
Source: RNAcentral
CGGAUCGCCACAGGUAAGAGUAUGAACAAUAAUAACUGUUUUUGAACAAAAGGAUUAAGUUACAAUGCAACGGGUUCAACCUAUUACAACUUCACCAUUCUUUACUUCUCCUUAAUAGGUCCCUACAGUUGAACUUUCAGAUCUACCUGAAGUCAGUUCCCGACCCUCCAAAGUUUUUAGAGGCCGUCUGUAGCAAAUGCACCACUUUCGGGUUUAACUUUAAAAUUGAGUUAAAAUAUUGAGCAAAAGUACUGCCCAACAAGUAUAUAAUAUCCAACCCAACAGUAAAUCAUAAAUAGUAUGUAAAGCAUGGCAAUAAUAUCAAGAAUGUAACAUGCUUUAAAGAUUAAUCAACACAAUAUGAUUUAAGCAAAACAGUUUCAUUUUUAUGGAAUUGGAAACAGAUAAAACGCUACGAGCUAAGCUGGGUGAUUAGCCCACGACAAAGCUCCGAACCCGCAUAUCCAAUACGAGUUCUCAAAUAUAAAGGAUCCUAGGCACACUUUGGCCUUAUAUAAACAUCAGGCUCCCCGCUACGGAUGUUUGUAAUUGAAAUGGUGAUUGGCGCCUCAGUCAUAAAAACAUUUUUCAACCAAUUCCCUUUUUAAAACAGAUAAUUCAAAUCAUUUUAAAACUAUAAAUCAUUGUUGCAAAACAGCUUUGGAAUUAUACUAUGCCAAGUAUUCUCUCAAGGGAAUGAUAAUUCAUAAAGAAAGAUAAUAUGAACUAUUUAUGACAAGAUUGGGAAAUAGCUAUUGAGGGUUAAGUGUUUAGGUUCAUAUGACAACCAAGUGAAGUGGUCUAUUAGGUGAAGAAUACUUCUGGUUUGUUAACAUUGAAGAAUUCAAGGUAUAAGUUCUUAGUGUUAUUGUAAGCUUAUAACAGGGUUCUAAAGAAUCAAGUUUAUAGGGGAGAAAUAUGAUAGGUUAAAGCAUCAAAGGUUAUACAAGUUCUUCGUUUAUAACAAUCUAGAAUACUUGGCAACUAGUAGAGUUUUAAACUUUGAUUUCAAUGAU